This 301-nucleotide ribosomal RNA is filed under the name uncultured bacterium. RNAcentral describes it as "partial 16S ribosomal RNA". It matches the Rfam family "Bacterial small subunit ribosomal RNA", at positions 509 to 807 of the family's 1533-position model. The record is from RNAcentral.
CAGUAGCCGCGGUAAUACAGAGGCCUCAAGCGUUGUCCGGAAUCACUGGGCGUAAAGGGUGCGUAGGCGGCGUGGAAAGUCAGAUGUGAAAUCCGGGGGCUCAACCCCCGAAUUGCAUCCGAUACUCCCAUGCUAGAGAAUUGGAGGGGGAUCUGGAAUUCUCGGUGUAGCAGUGAAAUGCGUAGAUAUCGAGAGGAACACUAGUGGCGAAGGCGAGAUCCUGGACAAUUUCUGACGCUGAUGCACGAAGGCCAGGGUAGCGAACGGGAUUAGAUACCCCCGUAGUCCCUGUCUCUUAUAC